AGCAGCCGCGGUAAUUCCAGCUCCAAUAGCGUAUAUUAAAGUUGUUGCAGUUAAAAAGCUCGUAGUUGAAUUUCGGGAUCAAUUAAUCGGUCGUGCCUCUGGUACGCACUGGUUUUAUUGGUUUCUCCCUUCUGACGAACCAGGAUGUCAUUAAUUUGGUGUCUUGGAGAAUCAGGACUGUUACUUUGAAAAGAUUAGAGUGUUUAAAGCAGGCUAACGCUUGAAUACAUUAGCAUGGAAUAAUGAAAUAGGACGUUUGAUCCUAUUUUGUUGGUUUCUAGGAUCGACGUAAUGAUUAAUAGGGAUAGUUGGGGGCAUUAGUAUUCAAUUGUCAGAGGUGAAAUUCUUGGAUUUAUUGAAGACUAACUACUGCGAAAGCAUUUGCCAAGGAUGUUUUCAUUAAUCAAGAACGAAAGUUAGGGGAUCGAAGACGAUCAGAUACCGUCGUAGUCUUAACCAUAAACUAUGCCGACUAGGGAUCGGAUGAUGUUAAUUUUUAAUGACUCACUCGGCGUACCG
Molecule: unclassified non-coding RNA, 519 nt
Filed under: uncultured Glomus
Lineage: Eukaryota; Fungi; Glomeromycota; Glomeromycetes; Glomerales; Glomeraceae
Description: SSU rRNA
Rfam family: Eukaryotic small subunit ribosomal RNA
Source: RNAcentral